UACGUAGGGGGCGAGCGUUGUCCGGAUUUAUUGGGUUUAAAGGGUGCGUAGGCGGUCUAUUAAGUCAGUGUUUAAAUUUUGCAGCUUAACUGUAGGUAUGGCAUUGAUACUGAUGGACUUGAAUAUUAUAGAGGUAGCUGGAAUUUAUGGUGUAGCGGUGAAAUGCAUAGAUACCAUAAGGAACACCGAUAGCGGAGGCAGGUUACCAUGUGAUUAUUGACGCUGAGGCACGAAAGUGUGGGGAUCAAACAGG
This 253-nucleotide ribosomal RNA is filed under the name uncultured bacterium. RNAcentral's name for it is "partial 16S ribosomal RNA". It matches the Rfam family "Bacterial small subunit ribosomal RNA", at positions 524 to 776 of the family's 1533-position model. The record is from RNAcentral.